CGGGGGGUGCCGGACGGGGCGGGUCCGGGCGUGUGGGGUCCGUGGCCGGGGCCGUCCGCCCUGACUCGCGCCGUUCCGACUCGUCGGUGCCCGGCC
Molecule: transfer RNA, 96 nt
Filed under: Streptomyces chromofuscus
Lineage: Bacteria; Bacillati; Actinomycetota; Actinomycetes; Kitasatosporales; Streptomycetaceae
Description: tRNA-His
Source: RNAcentral